AUACGGAGGGUGCAAGCGUUGUUCGGAAUUACUGGGCGUAAAGGGCGUGUAGGCGGAUCGAGUAGUCGGGUGUGAAAGCCCUGGGCUCAACCCAGGAAGUGCGCCCGAAACCAUCGGUCUGGAGUUUCGGAGGGGAGCGGGGAAUUCCCAGUGUAGAGGUGAAAUUCGUAGAUAUUGGGUGGAACACCGGUGCCGAAGGGGCCGCUCUGGACGAAUACUGACGCUGAGACGCGAAAGCGUGGGUAGCAAACAGGAUUAGAAACCCCUGUAGUCC
RNAcentral lists this ribosomal RNA (274 nucleotides) under uncultured bacterium. RNAcentral describes it as "partial 16S ribosomal RNA". It matches the Rfam family "Bacterial small subunit ribosomal RNA", at positions 523 to 796 of the family's 1533-position model. The record is from RNAcentral.